GAAAGCCGUAUGAGGGAAAACCUCACGUACGGUUUGAUGAGGAGGGGCAGAAUGUUCUGCCCUUUACUCUAGU
RNAcentral lists this non-coding RNA (73 nucleotides) under Paenibacillus uliginis N3/975. The record is from RNAcentral. Lineage: Bacteria; Bacillati; Bacillota; Bacilli; Caryophanales; Paenibacillaceae.